Non-coding RNA from Microcebus murinus (gray mouse lemur), 619 nucleotides. NCBI's taxonomy places the organism in Eukaryota, Metazoa, Chordata, Mammalia, Primates, Cheirogaleidae. The record is from RefSeq and is a predicted model, not a curated record.
AGGAUUGUGACCUCAGAUUCUGUCUGGAUUGUCUCCAGGAGUGGGAUGCUGGGAAACCACUUGCAGUGGGGGAUUUGUACGUGGAAAAUUAUAACGCUGACAAAAGUGAAAAAGGAAAUGAAAGCUUCUAUUGAAACUUUGACUCAGGUAGAAGAACCUUUUGACUCGGGUAGAAGUUCAAACGAGGGACCCUGACGCUCUUCUCCCAAAUUAGGAAGCUUUCAGGAUAGUAGAUGGUAAAUAUAGAGAAAAUUACUGAAAUAGAAGAGUAACAGAAUGAAAAACUCUCCAAAGGAAGCAUGAAGAGAAUGAGAAUGGUUACACAGAACGAAUUUAUUUGGGAAUAAAACACAAGAAAAGACAAAAACAAUAACAAUCUUUUGCAUAAUCUCGGGGAAGAGAGAGAGAGUGAGCACUUGUUCGUGUCCAUUGGCUUUCUGAUCACUCCUGAUGAGGGGUGCACAGCUUGGUCUUUGGGCAACUUUAGUCUCUCCUUUCAUUUGUACAGUUCUGUCAAGAAGUCAGGCAUAUCGUCAGUAGUAACUCACAGACUCCUUUGUAAUUAAAUUCAGGCACGCACUCAUUAACUCAUUUGAAUUAAAAUUCCUUACGGAAUACA